GAUGAACGCUGGCGGCGUGCCUAAUACAUGCAAGUCGAGCGAACGGACGAGAAGCUUGCUUCUCUGAUGUUAGCGGCGGACGGGUGAGUAACACGUGGAUAACCUACCUAUAAGACUGGGAUAACUUCGGGAAACCGGAGCUAAUACCGGAUAAUAUUUUGAACCGCAUGGUUCAAAAGUGAAAGACGGUCUUGCUGUCACUUAUAGAUGGAUCCGCGCUGCAUUAGCUAGUUGGUAAGGUAACGGCUUACCAAGGCAACGAUGCAUAGCCGACCUGAGAGGGUGAUCGGCCACACUGGAACUGAGACACGGUCCAGACUCCUACGGGAGGCAGCAGUAGGGAAUCUUCCGCAAUGGGCGAAAGCCUGACGGAGCAACGCCGCGUGAGUGAUGAAGGUCUUCGGAUCGUAAAACUCUGUUAUUAGGGAAGAACAUAUGUGUAAGUAACUGUGCACAUCUUGACGGUACCUAAUCAGAAAGCCACGGCUAACUACGUGCCAGCAGCCGCGGUAAUACGUAGGUGGCAAGCGUUAUCCGGAAUUAUUGGGCGUAAAGCGCGCGUAGGCGGUUUUUUAGUCUGAUGUGAAAGCCCACGGCUCAACCGUGGAGGGUCAUUGGAAACUGGAAAACUUGAGUGCAGAAGAGGAAAGUGGAAUUCCAUGUGUAGCGGUGAAAUGCGCAGAGAUAUGGAGGAACACCAGUGGCGAAGGCGACUUUCUGGUCUGUAACUGACGCUGAUGUGCGAAAGCGUGGGGAUCAAACAGGAUUAGAUACCCUGGUAGUCCACGCCGUAAACGAUGAGUGCUAAGUGUUAGGGGGUUUCCGCCCCUUAGUGCUGCAGCUAACGCAUUAAGCACUCCGCCUGGGGAGUACGACCGCAAGGUUGAAACUCAGAGGAAUUGACGGGGACCCGCACAAGCGGUGGAGCAUGUGGUUUAAUUCGAAGCAACGCGAAGAACCUUACCAAAUCUUGACAUCCUUUGACAACUCUAGAGAUAGAGCCUUCCCCUUCGGGGGACAAAGUGACAGGUGGUGCAUGGUUGUCGUCAGCUCGUGUCGUGAGAUGUUGGGUUAAGUCCCGCAACGAGCGCAACCCUUAAGCUUAGUUGCCAUCAUUAAGUUGGGCACUCUAAGUUGACUGCCGGUGACAAACCGGAGGAAGGUGGGGAUGACGUCAAAUCAUCAUGCCCCUUAUGAUUUGGGCUACACACGUGCUACAAUGGACAAUACAAAGGGCAGCGAAACCGCGAGGUCAAGCAAAUCUCAUAAAGUUGUUCUCAGUUCGGAUUGUAGUCUGCAACUCGACUACAUGAAGCUGGAAUCGCUAGUAAUCGUAGAUCAGCAUGCUACGGUGAAUACGUUCCCGGGUCU
This 1371-nucleotide ribosomal RNA is filed under the name uncultured bacterium. RNAcentral's name for it is "bacterial SSU rRNA". It matches the Rfam family "Bacterial small subunit ribosomal RNA", at positions 28 to 1381 of the family's 1533-position model. The record is from RNAcentral.